GGAUGGGAGAGAAGCCCUGACAAGUCACUCUGACCUCAGUUCAAAAGGGCUUGUUCCUAGGGCUCUCUUCUGGUUGUCUGGUUACCGUAACAAAACACAGUGGCCUGGGUGUAGACACUUCUUCCUGUGUUCGUACCUGCUGGAGAUACUUUCUUGAUGUGUUCUUACUUGUUGAG
Molecule: long non-coding RNA, 176 nt
Filed under: Ictidomys tridecemlineatus (thirteen-lined ground squirrel)
Lineage: Eukaryota; Metazoa; Chordata; Mammalia; Rodentia; Sciuridae
Description: lncRNA (ENSSTOG00000030923.1)
Source: RNAcentral